Pelobates cultripes (western spadefoot toad) is the source of this 215-nucleotide non-coding RNA. The record is from the annotation of a GenBank genome assembly. Lineage: Eukaryota; Metazoa; Chordata; Amphibia; Anura; Pelobatidae.
UGGGCUUUGUAAUGCCCCGGCCGUCUUCCAAGACUUGAUCAAUGAAGUUCUUAGAGAAUUCCAACAUGAAUGUGUGAUUGUAUAUUUGGAUGAUAUACUAAUACAUUCCAGAGACAUUAACUCACAUCAUAGACAAGUCAGAAAGGUAUUGCAGAAACUUUUACAACAUGGAUUGUAUUGUAAAUUGGAAAAAUGUAGCUUUGAUCAGUCUCAGG